RNAcentral lists this transfer RNA (91 nucleotides) under Bacteroidota bacterium. RNAcentral describes it as "Bacteroidetes bacterium (microbial mat metagenome) tRNA-Ser". It matches the Rfam family "tRNA". Rfam says of the family: Transfer RNA (tRNA) molecules are approximately 80 nucleotides in length. Their secondary structure includes four short double-helical elements and three loops (D, anti-codon, and T loops). Further hydrogen bonds mediate the characteristic L-shaped molecular structure. tRNAs have two regions of fundamental functional importance: the anti-codon, which is responsible for specific mRNA codon recognition, and the 3' end, to which the tRNAs corresponding amino acid is attached (by aminoacyl-tRNA synthetases). tRNAs cope with the degeneracy of the genetic code in two manners: having more than one tRNA (with a specific anti-codon) for a particular amino acid; and 'wobble' base-pairing, i.e. permitting non-standard base-pairing at the 3rd anti-codon position. RNAcentral also lists the same sequence under 1 other name. The record is from RNAcentral. Lineage: Bacteria; Pseudomonadati; Bacteroidota.
AGAGAGAUGCCGGAGCGGUCGAUCGGGCUCGCCUGGAAAGCGAGUAUACCCCCAAAGGGUAUCGGGGGUUCGAAUCCCCCUCUCUCUGCCA